ACGGUUACGAGUCAGCGAGCCGGCGAGCCUAGCGAAGCGAGUCGAGCACGAGCCGGGAGUAAACGAGACGUGAGGCUCAUCCAGCUCGUCAUCUGACUCCGUCCGCAAUCUUCGCCGCCGCCGCCGCCCAAAAUUUAUCUCGUUCCCCGUCAGGCCAUCCCGCACGCACGCACACACGACGGCCUCCGCUGCCCCUUCCCGGCUUCCCCGGCCCGUCCCCCGUCGCUGUAGCCCAGCGACGGCCUUGCAGCGACCCAGCGGCGGCCCUUCCGCUCUCACGACAGUAGCACCCUCCCGAAUCGGCGACACCGUAUGGAGCAGCCGGCGACCUCCGCUCACCGUCCGCCAUGGCUUCCACGCUCCAUCCCCUCGCGUGUAACAAGACUGCACCCAUGGAUCUCCAUGUGUGGAGGUGGGUCCCAUCGGUGGGGGCCACGGCUGUCCGGCGGCGGCCUGGCGUCGACUCUCGGCGGCGGCCCUUUCCCUCUUGCGACGGCGUCGAUCCAGAGGAGGGUACUCCCUGCCUUCAAUCGCAACUAGGAACCCCCCAAAUCCUCCCGCAGAUGCGACCUCAUUCCAACCUGAACUCCAAUCUCGAAUCCGUUCCCCUGCGUUGGUUGUCGACAUCCCUCCGCAGCGGCCGUCAUUCUUGGUGUACGGUGGGCCGUCACUCCCCAUGCCCGUAGAGGAGACAAGAUCCUGAGGUGAGCAGCGCCGCGCAUAGCUGCAUCCAGCCAUCAAUCUUAAGCCCACCAUGUUUGUGAUAAUGAAGCAGCAUCGCACCUGUGCCAUCCGUACUUGUAUUGCUGCCGGUGUUAUUGCAGGAGUUCUUCGGUUUUGGGUGACCAGUCCAUCCUAAUCCAAGCCAGCGUAGAGACCCUGAGGUGAUGAUGCCUCGUCGGAAUCUCUGGGUAGCAUCUGGGCACUUACUUUAGAGAGCAGCCUACUCAGCACUGAUUGAUAGAUAGCGCUUCAGCUCCCUUGUGCCUUCUCCCCACCGUCCUGGUGCCUAACUGCAUGAUCAGAUUCAGUUGGAGCUAGGGAAAGCAAGCAACAUAUAAUCGAGUUCAAGAAUGUGGAAGCAAGCACUUUGUAUCAUAUUCAGCAACGUGGAAUAGUGUCAUGUUAUAUUACAAGUAUUGAAUCUGUAUUGUCAUUUGUAGUUGAUCCGAUUUGAAAAAAAAGUGAUUGUUUCAAUCUGUAUUGUGGUAACUCACCAUUAUAUUAUAGUAACAUACAAUCGAGUUGUAGUCAAAAACGUCACAGCGUAGUCUACAUAUGGAUUAUAGUGAAUAGUCUA
Molecule: long non-coding RNA, 1300 nt
Organism: Setaria italica (foxtail millet)
Lineage: Eukaryota; Viridiplantae; Streptophyta; Magnoliopsida; Poales; Poaceae
Exons: 4
Source: RefSeq, a predicted model, not a curated record